UAUCUCUCCGUACGGGGAAGGAUGAGAAGCUUCGACUAAGGUUCGAUUCGAGCGAAAGCGAGAAAGCGUUGCCGUAGGCAACGACCCGAAGGG
This 93-nucleotide small RNA is filed under the name Salmonella enterica. RNAcentral describes it as "partial RtT sRNA". It matches the Rfam family "RtT RNA", at positions 1 to 91 of the family's 130-position model. Rfam says of the family: This family represents a bacterial cis-regulatory element known as RtT RNA. Lineage: Bacteria; Pseudomonadati; Pseudomonadota; Gammaproteobacteria; Enterobacterales; Enterobacteriaceae. The record is from RNAcentral.